Molecule: small nuclear RNA, 116 nt
Organism: Oryctolagus cuniculus (rabbit)
Lineage: Eukaryota; Metazoa; Chordata; Mammalia; Lagomorpha; Leporidae
Gene: U2
Rfam family: U2 spliceosomal RNA
About the family: U2 is a small nuclear RNA (snRNA) component of the spliceosome (involved in pre-mRNA splicing). Complementary binding between U2 snRNA (in an area lying towards the 5' end but 3' to hairpin I) and the branchpoint sequence (BPS) of the intron results the bulging out of an unpaired adenosine, on the BPS, which initiates a nucleophilic attack at the intronic 5' splice site, thus starting the first of two transesterification reactions that mediate splicing.
Source: Ensembl
AUCACUUCUCAGCCUUCUGGCUAAGAUCAAGUGUAGUAUCUGUUCUUAUGAGUUUAAUAUUUGAAAGGCAUAGUUACACACACAGAGAGAUAAAGACACAGACAGACAGAUCUUAC